Molecule: non-coding RNA, 192 nt
Filed under: uncultured Eubacterium sp.
Lineage: Bacteria; Bacillati; Bacillota; Clostridia; Eubacteriales; Eubacteriaceae
Source: RNAcentral
CGCCGUGAGACGGAGUCUGAAAGAAGUCGGAUGCGGAGACUUAAAAGUGUCUCUGCGGGCAAAGCCUCGGUCUGACGAACAGAAACUGCAUAUAAGGCAUACUUGAAACGGACGAGUUUCCUAUUCAAAACGAAGUCCAAUACUGCCCGAAUUUCAAGGUGUAAAUGCAGCAGAUAUAUGAGGUGAAGGUGA